AACGAACGCUGGCGGCGUGCCUAAUACAUGCAAGUCGAACGCCCCGCAAGGGGAGUGGCGCACGGGUGAGUAACGCGUGGGAAUAUGCCCUUCGGUUCGGAAUAACACAGGGAAACUUGUGCUAAUACCGGAUACGAUCUACGGAUGAAAGAUUUAUCGCCGAGGGAGUAGCCCGCGUAGGAUUAGCUAGUUGGUGAGGUAAUGGCUCACCAAGGCGACGAUCCUUAGCUGGUCUGAGAGGAUGAUCAGCCACACUGGGACUGAGACACGGCCCAGACUCCUACGGGAGGCAGCAGUGGGGAAUAUUGGACAAUGGGCGAAAGCCUGAUCCAGCCAUGCCGCGUGAGUGAUGAAGGCCUUAGGGUUGUAAAGCUCUUUCGCCAGGGAAGAUAAUGACGGUACCUGGAAAAGAAGCCUCGGCUAACUCCGUGCCAGCCGCCGCUGUAA
Molecule: ribosomal RNA, 447 nt
Filed under: uncultured bacterium
Lineage: Bacteria
Description: partial 16S ribosomal RNA
Rfam family: Bacterial small subunit ribosomal RNA
Source: RNAcentral